AGAAUAACUAUUUUAGGUGCUUGCUUCUGCAAGAUAAAGAGAAGAUUAGCAUGGUCCUAUGUGCAAGGAUGACAUGCAGAUUCCUGAAGCAUUCCAUACUUAA
Small nuclear RNA from Suncus etruscus (white-toothed pygmy shrew), 103 nucleotides. NCBI's taxonomy places the organism in Eukaryota, Metazoa, Chordata, Mammalia, Eulipotyphla, Soricidae. The record is from RefSeq and is a predicted model, not a curated record.